UACGAAGGGGGCUAGCGUUGCUCGGAAUUACUGGGCGUAAAGCGCACGUAGGCGGAUCGUUAAGUCGGGGGUGAAAUCCUGGAGCUCAACUCCAGAACUGCCUCCGAUACUGGCGAUCUCGAGUCCGGGAGAGGUGAGUGGAACUGCGAGUGUAGAGGUGAAAUUCGUAGAUAUUCGCAAGAACACCAGUGGCGAAGGCGGCUCACUGGCCCGGUACUGACGCUGAGGUGCGAAAGCGUGGGGAGCAAACAGG
This 253-nucleotide ribosomal RNA is filed under the name uncultured bacterium. RNAcentral describes it as "partial 16S ribosomal RNA". It matches the Rfam family "Bacterial small subunit ribosomal RNA", at positions 524 to 776 of the family's 1533-position model. The record is from RNAcentral.